UACGGGGGGAGCAAGCGUUGUUCGGAUUUACUGGGCAUAAAGGGCGCGUAGGCGGCUUCAUAAGUCAGGGGUGAAAUCCGGCAGCUUAACUGUCGCAGUGCCUUUGAUACUGUGGAGCUCGAGGGAGGUAGGGGUCUGUGGAACUUCCGGUGGAGCGGUGAAAUGCGUUGAUAUCGUAAGGAACACCCGUGGCGAAAGUGGCUCACUGGGUCUUUUCUGACGCUGAUGCACGAAAGCUAGGGGAGCAAACGGG
RNAcentral lists this ribosomal RNA (253 nucleotides) under uncultured prokaryote. RNAcentral's name for it is "partial 16S ribosomal RNA". It matches the Rfam family "Bacterial small subunit ribosomal RNA", at positions 524 to 776 of the family's 1533-position model. The record is from RNAcentral.